RNAcentral lists this ribosomal RNA (463 nucleotides) under uncultured bacterium. RNAcentral's name for it is "partial 16S ribosomal RNA". It matches the Rfam family "Bacterial small subunit ribosomal RNA", at positions 28 to 507 of the family's 1533-position model. The record is from RNAcentral.
GAUGAACGCUGACAGAAUGCUUAACACAUGCAAGUCUUUGGCGAAGCUGUGCUUGCACAGCCUAGCCAAGGCGGACGGGUGAGUAACGCGUAAGGAACUUGCCCUGCAGUCAGGGAUAACAGACGGAAACGACUGAUAAGACCUGGUAAAGUCAGGCGGACCCAUGUCCAGCCUGAUGAAAAGAGAUGCUGCAGGAGAGCCUUGCGUCCUAUUAGCUUGUUGGUGGGGUAACGGCCCACCAAGGCGAUGAUAGGUAGCCGGCCUGAGAGGGUGGACGGCCACAAGGGGACUGAGAUACGGCCCUUACUCCUACGGGAGGCAGCAGUGGAGAAUAUUGGACAAUGGGGGCAACCCUGAUCCAGCAAUUCUGUGUGCACGAUGAAGGUUUUCGGAUUGUAAAGUGCUUUCAGCGGGGAAGAAAAAAAUGACGGUACCUGCAGAAGAAGCGACGGCUAAAUACGUG